Molecule: ribosomal RNA, 443 nt
Filed under: uncultured bacterium
Lineage: Bacteria
Description: partial 16S ribosomal RNA
Rfam family: Bacterial small subunit ribosomal RNA
Source: RNAcentral
CCUACGGGAGGCUGCAGUGGGGAAUAUUGGGCAAUGGGCGCAAGCCUGACCCAGCAACGCCGCGUGAAGGAGGAAGGCUUUCGGGUUGUAAACUUCUUUUGUCAGGGACGAAGCAAGUGACGGUACCUGACGAAUAAGCCACGGCUAACUACGUGCCAGCAGCCGCGGGAAUACGUAGGUGGCAAGCGUUAUCCGGAUUUACUGGGGGUAAAGGGCGUGUGGGCGGGACUGCAAGUCAGAUGUGAAAACCACGGGCUCAACCUGUGGCCUGCAUUUGAAACUGUGGUUCUUGAGUACUGGAGAGGCAGACGGAAUGCCUAGUGUAGCGGUGAAAUGCGUAGAUAUUAGGCGGAACACCAGUGGCGAAGGCGGUCUGCUGGACAGCAACUGACGCUGAGGCGCGAAAGCGUGGGGAGCAAACAGGAUUAGAUACCCCAGUAGUC